AUGCACGCUGCCAGCAUGCUUAACCCAUGCAAGUCGCUGGGGAAGUGGUGCUUGCACCCUGGUAACCAUGGCGGACGGGUGAGUAACGCGUAAGGAACUUGCCUGCGGGACUGGGAUAACAGCAGGAAACUGCUGAUAAUACCGGAUAAGGUCAUUAAGCUGCAUAGCUUAGUGAUGAAAGGAGACGCCUGCGGAGAGCCUUGCGUCCUAUUAGCUAGUUGGAGGGGUAACGGCCCACCAAGGCGAAGAUAGGUAGCCGGCCUGAGAGGGUGGACGGCCACAAGGGGACUGAGAUACGGCCCUUACUCCUACGGGAGGCAGCAGUGGGGAAUAUUGGACAAUGGGGGCAACCCUGAUCCAGCAAUUCUGUGUGCACGAAGACGGUUUUCGGAUUGUAAAGUGCUUUCAGCAGGGAAGAAGGAAGUGACGGUACCUGCAGAAGAAGCGACGGCUAGAUACGUG
This 462-nucleotide ribosomal RNA is filed under the name uncultured bacterium. RNAcentral's name for it is "partial 16S ribosomal RNA". It matches the Rfam family "Bacterial small subunit ribosomal RNA", at positions 29 to 507 of the family's 1533-position model. The record is from RNAcentral.